Nilaparvata lugens (brown planthopper) is the source of this 896-nucleotide long non-coding RNA. RefSeq lists it as uncharacterized. Lineage: Eukaryota; Metazoa; Arthropoda; Insecta; Hemiptera; Delphacidae. The record is from RefSeq and is a predicted model, not a curated record. The transcript has 5 exons.
CUUCACCCAGUCUUCACCUCUUCUUCAGUGUCUUCACUCUUCAGUUUUAAUUUCAAUACGUUGCACAGUGAAUGCAUGAAGAUACUGUAGUUUAUUUAUUUUGUCUCUGGUGUAUGUUAGUAGGUCGUUAGGUUCAAGAUUAAGUGGCCACCGGUUGAAUAACAGCUUUUGUAAAAUAAAAUAUGCGAGUUUGAAGUUAUUAAUUUACUGCUUUGAAUGAUGGUGAAUAAAGUGAACCAGUGAAUGUGUUGUGUAAAGUUUUUAACUACAAUAGCCUACAUUACUUGUAAGCACAACACUUCAACUCUUCAAGCAGCAAUUCAACGAUUCACAUUGUUUUCUGGAAAAGGUGUGAAGCGACGACACAGUCAGCGGCAUCCUGUCAUGGACCACAGCUUUCAAUGACCUCAUCACUUGACAGGUUGAACGAUCAGUUGUUGGGGAUUAUAAGGGAGGGGGACUCUUGACUGUGGAAUGAAGAACUAGACUAGUUGCUAACAGUGAGCAGAAUGGGAGAGAACGAGGGAGAAGUUGAAGAUCAUCACUGCAUGUCUCCGGAACAUUCAAGCGAGCGAAGUGAGUUCUCACCACUUGAGACCUUCACUAUGUCGCCUCGCGAAGUGAGUUCUCAUCCCCUGUUGCAGUCUCCAUUCAUCUGGAUUGCGUGGAACGCGAGUUGGCGGCAGUCACAUUAACUCUGGCAUUCAAUCACAUUAUUUCCAUGUUAUCAAAUUAUUCGGCAUUUUAUGAUGUAGGCCUCAUCUUACGUUCAUCUUUUGAUUUUAUGUUUUAUUCAUCAGUAAUUAAAUCUCAUUUUCUGUUUUUAAAAUCAUGUAGUUUUUGUUUUCAUUUUAUGUUUUAUUCGUAAGUAAUAAACUAACAUUUUAUGUUUACUA